UUAAGCGACUAAGCGUACACGGUGGAUGCCCUGGCAGUCAGAGGCGAUGAAGGACGUGCUAAUCUGCGAAAAGCGUCGGUAAGGUGAUAUGAACCGUUACAGCCGGCGAUGUCCGAAUGGGGAAACCCAGUGCAAUUCGUUGCACUAUCGUUAACUGAAUACAUAGGUUAACGAGGCGAACCGGGGGAACUGAAACAUCUAAGUACCCCGAGGAAAAGAAAUCAACCGAGAUUCCCCCAGUAGCGGCGAGCGAACGGGGAGCAGCCCAGAGUCUGAAUCAGCUUGUGUGUUAGUGGAACGGUCUGGAAAGUCCGACGGUACAGGGUGAUAGUCCCGUACACCAAAAUGCACAGGCUGUGAACUCGAAGAGUAGGGCGGGACACGUGGUAUCCUGUCUGAAUAUGGGGGGACCAUCCUCCAAGGCUAAAUACUCCUGACUGACCGAUAGUGAACCAGUACCGUGAGGGAAAGGCGAAAAGAACCCCGGCGAGGGGAGUGAAAAAGAACCUGAAACCGUGUACGUACAAGCAGUGGGAGCACCUUCGGGUGUGACUGCGUACCUUUUGUAUAAUGGGUCAGCGACUUAUAUUCUGUAGCAAGGUUAACCGUAUAGGGGAGCCGCAGGGAAACCGAGUCUUAACUGGGCGUUAAGUUGCAGGGUAUAGACCCGAAACCCGGUGAUCUAGCCAUGGGCAGGUUGAAGGUUGGGUAACACUAACUGGAGGACCGAACCGACUAAUGUUGAAAAAUUAGCGGAUGACUUGUGGCUGGGGGUGAAAGGCCAAUCAAACCGGGAGAUAGCUGGUUCUCCCCGAAAGCUAUUUAGGUAGCGCCUCGUGAACUCAUCUUCGGGGGUAGAGCACUGUUUCGGCUAGGGGGUCAUCCCGACUUACCAACCCGAUGCAAACUACGAAUACCGAAGAAUGUUAUCACGGGAGACACACGGCGGGUGCUAACGUCCGUCGUGAAGAGGGAAACAACCCAGACCGCCAGCUAAGGUCCCAAAGUCAUGGUUAAGUGGGAAACGAUGUGGGAAGGCACAGACAGCCAGGAUGUUGGCUUAGAAGCAGCCAUCAUUUAAAGAAAGCGUAAUAGCUCACUGGUCGAGUCGGCCUGCGCGGAAGAUGUAACGGGGCUAAACCAUGCACCGAAGCUGCGGCAGCGACACUAUGUGUUGUUGGGUAGGGGAGCGUUCUGUAAGCCUGCGAAGGUGUGCUGUGAGGCAUGCUGGAGGUAUCAGAAGUGCGAAUGCUGACAUAAGUAACGAUAAAGCGGGUGAAAAGCCCGCUCGCCGGAAGACCAAGGGUUCCUGUCCAACGUUAAUCGGGGCAGGGUGAGUCGACCCCUAAGGCGAGGCCGAAAGGCGUAGUCGAUGGGAAACAGGUUAAUAUUCCUGUACUUGGUGUUACUGCGAAGGGGGGACGGAGAAGGCUAUGUUAGCCGGGCGACGGUUGUCCCGGUUUAAGCAUGUAGGCUGAUUGUCCAGGCAAAUCCGGAUAAUCAAGGCUGAGGUGUGAUGACGAGGCACUACGGUGCUGAAGUAACAAAUGCCCUGCUUCCAGGAAAAGCCUCUAAGCAUCAGGUAACAUCAAAUCGUACCCCAAACCGACACAGGUGGUCAGGUAGAGAAUACCAAGGCGCUUGAGAGAACUCGGGUGAAGGAACUAGGCAAAAUGGUGCCGUAACUUCGGGAGAAGGCACGCUGGUGUGUAGGUGAAGUCCCUGCGGAUGGAGCUGAGACCAGUCGAAGAUACCAGCUGGCUGCAACUGUUUAUUAAAAACACAGCACUGUGCAAACACGAAAGUGGACGUAUACGGUGUGACGCCUGCCCGGUGCCGGAAGGUUAAUUGAUGGGGUUAUCCGUAAGGAGAAGCUCUUGAUCGAAGCCCCGGUAAACGGCGGCCGUAACUAUAACGGUCCUAAGGUAGCGAAAUUCCUUGUCGGGUAAGUUCCGACCUGCACGAAUGGCGUAAUGAUGGCCAGGCUGUCUCCACCCGAGACUCAGUGAAAUUGAACUCGCUGUGAAGAUGCAGUGUACCCGCGGCAAGACGGAAAGACCCCGUGAACCUUUACUAUAGCUUGACACUGAACAUUGAGCCUUGAUGUGUAGGAUAGGUGGGAGGCUUUGAAGCGUGGACGCCAGUCUGCGUGGAGCCAACCUUGAAAUACCACCCUUUAAUGUUUGAUGUUCUAACGUUGGCCCCUGACCGGGGUUGCGGACAGUGUCUGGUGGGUAGUUUGACUGGGGCGGUCUCCUCCCAAAGCGUAACGGAGGAGCACGAAGGUUAGCUAAUCCUGGUCGGACAUCAGGAGGUUAGUGCAAUGGCAUAAGCUAGCUUGACUGCGAGCGUGACGGCGCGAGCAGGUGCGAAAGCAGGUCAUAGUGAUCCGGUGGUUCUGAAUGGAAGGGCCAUCGCUCAACGGAUAAAAGGUACUCCGGGGAUAACAGGCUGAUACCGCCCAAGAGUUCAUAUCGACGGCGGUGUUUGGCACCUCGAUGUCGGCUCAUCACAUCCUGGGGCUGAAGUAGGUCCCAAGGGUAUGGCUGUUCGCCAUUUAAAGUGGUACGCGAGCUGGGUUUAGAACGUCGUGAGACAGUUCGGUCCCUAUCUGCCGUGGGCGCUGGAGAAUUGAGGGGGGCUGCUCCUAGUACGAGAGGACCGGAGUGGACGCAUCACUGGUGUUCGGGUUGUCAUGCCAAUGGCACUGCCCGGUAGCUAAAUGCGGAAGAGAUAAGUGCUGAAAGCAUCUAAGCACGAAACUUGCCCCGAGAUG
RNAcentral lists this ribosomal RNA (2776 nucleotides) under Klebsiella pneumoniae. Its description in RNAcentral is "bacterial LSU rRNA". It matches the Rfam family "Bacterial large subunit ribosomal RNA". Lineage: Bacteria; Pseudomonadati; Pseudomonadota; Gammaproteobacteria; Enterobacterales; Enterobacteriaceae. The record is from RNAcentral.